RNAcentral lists this ribosomal RNA (449 nucleotides) under uncultured Fibrobacter sp. RNAcentral's name for it is "partial 16S ribosomal RNA". It matches the Rfam family "Bacterial small subunit ribosomal RNA", at positions 341 to 792 of the family's 1533-position model. The record is from RNAcentral. Lineage: Bacteria; Pseudomonadati; Fibrobacterota; Fibrobacteria; Fibrobacterales; Fibrobacteraceae.
ACGGGAGGCAGCAGUAGGGAAUAUUGUACAAUGGGGGAAACCCUGAUGCAGCAACGCCACGUGUGGGAAGAAGCAUUUCGGUGUGUAAACCACUGUCGUGAGGGAAUAAAGCUGGAGUUGUCCAGUUGAAUGUACCUCGAAAGGAAGCACCGGCAAACUUCGUGCCAGCAGCCGCGGUAAUACGAGGGGUGCAAGCGUUGUUCGGAAUCACUGGGCGUAAAGGGAGCGCAGGCGGAAGUGCAAGCGGUCUGUACAAUCCCGGGGCCUAACCCCGGACCUGCAGACCGGACUGUUUCUCUUGGAUAGUUCAGGGGCAAGCGGAAUUCCUGGUGUAGCGGUGGAAUGCGUAGAGAUCAGGAAGAACACCGAUGGCGAAGGCAGCUUGCUGGGGACUUAUCGACGCUCAUGCUCGAAAGUACGGGUAGCAAACAGGAUUAGAUACCCUGGUA